Molecule: non-coding RNA, 230 nt
Filed under: Secundilactobacillus similis
Lineage: Bacteria; Bacillati; Bacillota; Bacilli; Lactobacillales; Lactobacillaceae
Description: Lactobacillus similis T-box sequence
Rfam family: T-box leader
About the family: Uncharged tRNA acts as the effector for transcription antitermination of genes in the T-box leader family. T-boxes are found upstream of many aminoacyl-tRNA synthetase genes and some amino acid biosynthetic genes usually in Gram-positive bacteria.
Source: RNAcentral
UCAAACACGUUGAAAAGAACAGUAACGCUGGCAACCUUCUAAAGAGACUACCGAGUGGUGAGAUGGUAGGUUGGACGUCAGGGUGAAGAUCAUCUUGGAGUGGCGGUGACGACAACAGUUGCCGAUGGGAGCGCCCAUUACAGCGACGGCUUAUCUUCGGCAACGAACGUAAGCUUGAGGCUUUAUUUUGAGAAGCAAAUAAUAGGUGGUACCGCGGAAACGCCCUAUGG